GCAAACUUGGUCAUUUAGAGGAAGUAAAAGUCGUAACAAGGUUUCCGUAGGUGAACCUGCGGAAGGAUCAUUACCGAGUACCGGAGCUCUAGAGCUCCUACUCCCACCCUAUGUUGACUUUAAACGUUGCUUUGGCGGACCGGCUCACGCCGCCGGCCCUCGCGCUGGACAGCGUCCGCCAGAGGAUUUUUAAACUCUAUUUAAUGGUGAAUUCUGAGUAUCUUGAAAAUUGAAUCAAAACUUUCAACAACGGAUCUCUUGGUUCUGGCAUCGAUGAAGAACGCAGC
Molecule: unclassified non-coding RNA, 287 nt
Filed under: uncultured fungus
Lineage: Eukaryota; Fungi
Description: partial contains small subunit ribosomal RNA, internal transcribed spacer 1, and 5.8S ribosomal RNA
Rfam family: Eukaryotic small subunit ribosomal RNA (bases 1-73)
Source: RNAcentral